CCUACGGGUGGCUGCAGUCGAGAAUCUUCGUCAAUGGUCGAAAGACUGAACGAGCGACGCCGCGUGCGGGAUGAAGGCCCUCGGGUUGUAAACCGCUGUCAGUGGGAAUGAAAUACUAGGGGGAUCACCCCCUAGUUUGACAGACCCGCAGAGGAAGGACGGGCUAAGUUCGUGCCAGCAGCCGCGGUAAUACGAACCGUCCAAACGUUAUUCGGAAUCACUGGGCUUGGCGGGUCCGUAGGUGGCGUGUGAAAUCCCACGGCUCAACCGUGGAAUUGCGCUCAAAACUGUCGAGCUUGAGGGAGGUAGAGGUGAGCGGAACUUCGGGUGGAGCGGUGAAAUGCGUUGAUAUCCGAAGGAACACCGGUGGCGAAAGCGGCUCACUGGGCCUCUUCUGACGCUGAGGCACGAAAGCUAGGGGAGCGAACGGGAUUAGAUACCCUUGUAGUC
Molecule: ribosomal RNA, 450 nt
Filed under: uncultured bacterium
Lineage: Bacteria
Description: partial 16S ribosomal RNA
Rfam family: Bacterial small subunit ribosomal RNA
Source: RNAcentral